This 376-nucleotide unclassified non-coding RNA is filed under the name soil metagenome. RNAcentral's name for it is "partial contains 5.8S ribosomal RNA, internal transcribed spacer 2, and large subunit ribosomal RNA". The stretch from base 1 to 120 matches the Rfam family "5.8S ribosomal RNA", at positions 35 to 154 of the family's 154-position model. The record is from RNAcentral.
GAUGAAGAACGUAGCGAAAUGCGAUAAGUAAUGUGAAUUGCAGAAUUCAGUGAAUCAUCGAAUCUUUGAACGCAUCUUGCGCUCCUCGGUAUUCUGAGGAGCAUGCCUGUUUGAGUGUCAUUAAAUUCUCAACUACACUGACUUUGAAUUGGUGUGGCUUGGAUUUGGGGGGAAAAUUGUUGUGGGCUUUUUGUAUAGUCUGCUCCCCUGAAAUUGAUUAGCGGUACCUUUGUGGAACUGUCUACAGGUGUGAUAAUUAUCUACAUCUUAGACAUCUGCUGGAAUGCUGCUUUCUAAACCUUACUUGUAUUGACAAUCUUGACCUCAAAUCAGGUAGGACUACCCGCUGAACUUAAGCAUAUCAAUAAGCGGAGGA